This 90-nucleotide transfer RNA is filed under the name Patescibacteria group bacterium. RNAcentral describes it as "tRNA-Ser". It matches the Rfam family "tRNA". From Rfam's summary of the family: Transfer RNA (tRNA) molecules are approximately 80 nucleotides in length. The record is from RNAcentral.
GGAGAGAUGGCAGAGUGGUCGAAUGCGCUGACUUGGAGAGUCAGUAUACUCGAAAGAGUAUCCAGGGUUCGAAUCCCUGUCUCUCCGCCA